CCUUAUUUAAUUGGUAGGAGAGCGUUCUUAUCAGCGAUGAAGGUAUACCGUGAGGAGUGCUGGAGCGAUAAGAAGUGAGAAUGCCGGUAUGAGUAGCGCAAGACAGGUGAGAAUCCUGUCCACCGUAAGACUAAGGUUUCCAGGGGAAGGCUCGUCCGCCCUGGGUUAGUCGGGACCUAAGGAGAGGCCGAAUGGCGUAUCCGAUGGACAACAGGUUGAUAUUCCUGUACUAGGUUAUAUAGUGAUUGGAGGGACGCAGUAGGCUAAGGUAAGCCAGUUAAUGGAUUCUGGUCUAAGCAGUGAGGUUUGGUAUGAGUCAAAUGCUUGUACCUCUAAGAUUGAGCUGUGAUGGGGAAGCACUUUCGAGUGCGAAGUACCUGAUGUCACACUGCCAAGAAAAUCUUCUAGCGUUUAAUUAUAACCUACCCGUACCGCAAACCGACACAGGUAGUCGAGGCGAGUAGCCUCAGGUGAGCGAGAGAACUCUCGUUAAGGAACUCGGCAAAAUGACCCCGUAACUUCGGGAGAAGGGGUGCUCUACAUUUGUAGAGCCGCAGUGAAUAGGCCCAAGCGACUGUUUAUCAAAAACACAGCUCUCUGCUAAAUCGUAAGAUGAUGUAUAGGGGGUGACGCCUGCCCGGUGCUGGAAGGUUAAGAGGAGUGCUUAGCGUAAGCGAAGGUAUGAAUUGAAGCCCCAGUAAACGGCGGCCGUAACGAUAACGGUCCUAAGGUAGCGAAAUUCCUUGUCGGGUAAGUUCCGACCCGCACGAAAGGCGUAACGAUUUGGGCACUGUCUCAACGAGAGACUCGGUGAAAUUUUAGUACCUGUGAAGAUGCAGGUUACCCGCGACAGGACGGAAAGACCCCAUGGAGCUUUACUGCAAGUUGAUAUUGAGUAUCUGUUGCACAUGUACAGGAUAGGUAGGAGCCGAUGAACUGAGGACGCUAGUUUUCAGUGAGGCGAUGUUGGGAUACUACCCUUGUGUCAUGGCUACUCUAACCCGCAUGCCUAAUCGGCAUGGGAGACAGUGUCUGCUGGGCAGUUUGACUGGGGCGGUCGCCUCCUAAAGAGUAACGGAGGCGCUCAAAGUUUCCCUCAGCAUGGUUGGAAAUCAUGCGUAGAGUGUAAAGGUAUAAGGGAGAUUGACUGCGAGACUUACAAGUCGAGCAGGUACGAAAGUAGGACUUAGUGAUCCGGUGGUACCGCAUGGAAGGGCCAUCGCUCAACGGAUAAAAGCUACCCUGGGGAUAACAGGCUUAUCUCCCCCAAGAGUUCACAUCGACGGGGAGGUUUGGCACCUCGAUGUCGGCUCGUCGCAUCCUGGGGCUGUAGUCGGUCCCAAGGGUUGGGCUGUUCGCCCAUUAAAGCGGCACGCGAGCUGGGUUCAGAACGUCGUGAGACAGUUCGGUCCCUAUCCGUCGCGGGCGUAGGAAAUUUGAGAGGAUCUGCCCUUAGUACGAGAGGACCGGGGUGGACUUACCGCUGGUGUACCAGUUGUCUUGCCAAAGGCAUCGCUGGGUAGCUAUGUAGGGAACGGAUAAACGCUGAAAGCAUCUAAGUGUGAAACCAACCUCAAGAUGAGAUUUCCCAUUCUUUAUGAAUUAAGAGCCCUGAGAGAUGAUCAGGUAGAUAGGCUAGAAGUGGAAGGACAGUGAUGUUUGGAGCGGACUAGUACUAAUAGCUCGAGGACUUUAUC
This 1697-nucleotide ribosomal RNA is filed under the name metagenome. RNAcentral describes it as "bacterial LSU rRNA". It matches the Rfam family "Bacterial large subunit ribosomal RNA", at positions 1215 to 2925 of the family's 2925-position model. The record is from RNAcentral.